AGUGAUGGCAUGCGAAUCUCGAAAGCCUAUCUCAGUUCGGAUUGGAGGCUGAAACCCGCCUCCAUGAAGUUGGAUUCGCUAGUAAUCGCGCAUCAGCCAUGGCGCGGUGAAUACGUUCCCGGGCCUUGUACACACCGCCCGUCAAGCCAUGGGAACCGGGGGUGCCUGAAGUUCGUUACCGUAAGGAUCGACCUAGGGCAAAACUGGUGACUGGGGCUAAGUCGUAACAAGGUAUC
This 236-nucleotide ribosomal RNA is filed under the name uncultured bacterium. Its description in RNAcentral is "partial 16S ribosomal RNA". It matches the Rfam family "Bacterial small subunit ribosomal RNA", at positions 1256 to 1500 of the family's 1533-position model. The record is from RNAcentral.